Molecule: ribosomal RNA, 374 nt
Filed under: uncultured organism
Description: partial 16S ribosomal RNA
Rfam family: Bacterial small subunit ribosomal RNA
Source: RNAcentral
GUAGGUGGCAAGCGUUGUCCGGAAUUAUUGGGCGUAAAGCGCGCGCAGGCGGUCCUUUAAGUCUGAUGUGAAAGCCCACGGGCUCAACCGUGGAGGGUCAUUGGAAACUGGGGGACUUGAGUACAGAAGAGGAAAGCGGAAUUCCAAGUGUAGCGGUGAAAUGCGUAGAGAUUUGGAGGAACACCAGUGGCGAGGGCGGCUUUCUGGUCUGUAACUGACGCUGAGGCGCGAAAGCGUGGGGAGCAAACAGGAUUAGAUACCCUGGUAGUCCACGCCGUAAACGAUGAGUGCUAAGUGUUAGGGGGUUUCCGCCCCUUAGUGCUGCAGCUAACGCAUUAAGCACUCCGCCUGGGGAGUACGGCCGCAAAGGCUGA